RNAcentral lists this ribosomal RNA (301 nucleotides) under uncultured bacterium. Its description in RNAcentral is "partial 16S ribosomal RNA". It matches the Rfam family "Bacterial small subunit ribosomal RNA", at positions 509 to 807 of the family's 1533-position model. The record is from RNAcentral.
CAGUAGCCGCGGUAAUACGAAGGGUGCAAGCGUUAAUCGGAAUUACUGGGCGUAAAGCGUGCGUAGGCGGUGAGUUAAGUCUGCUGUGAAAUCCCCGGGCUCAACCUGGGAACUGCAUUUGUGACUGGCAAGCUAGAGUCUGGCAGAGGGGGGUGGAAUUCCGCGUGUAGCAGUGAAAUGCGUAGAUAUGCGGAGGAACACCGAUGGCGAAGGCAGCCCCCUGGGCCAACACUGACGCUCAUGCACGAAAGCGUGGGGAGCAAACAGGAUUAGAUACCCCAGUAGUCCCUGUCUCUUAUAC